Long non-coding RNA from Vespula vulgaris, 576 nucleotides. RefSeq lists it as uncharacterized. The record is from RefSeq and is a predicted model, not a curated record. The transcript is spliced from 3 exons. NCBI's taxonomy places the organism in Eukaryota, Metazoa, Arthropoda, Insecta, Hymenoptera, Vespidae.
AUUAUGUAGAUGGCGCAUUGGUAACAUGCAGGAGAGAAUCAUCUAGCAUCCUUGUUGGUGAUGACACUGCCAUCUUAAAUUGGUUAGUGCUAUUGAUUGCAGGAGAGCUUCGUCGUCCAGUUAAUUACAGAUCGAAAAGUUACAAGCUUCAAGGGGGGCCAUUGCGUAGAUGAUGCAACGCGCAUGCGCGGAAGUUUCAUAUAUCUUCUUGACGAUGAAACCACCAUCUUUAAUUGCUGUGGCUAGUGACAGGAGAGCUUCGUCGUCCCGUUAAUUACAGGCUUCGCGGGACGCCAUUAUGAAGGUGAUGUACUACGUAUAUACAAGGGGUCCACAUACCUUCCUUGCUGAUAGAGAAUCCACCAUCUUGAAUUAAUUCGUGUCACGACUCGCAGGAGAGGCGUUCGUCGUCCCGUUAAUUACAAGUAAGUAGAUAUUUUUUUCUAACGUACACCGUUCAUUUAUAUAUCAAUCGAUAUCCAAUAACGCGAUUUCUAUGCUUGAGUACUUUCGAGUCGGGGAAUUGUCGCGUUUGAAAGAUAUUCGCGAAAAUCAAAAAUGACGCAAUCGCGUCCC